AUUGAACGCUGGCGGCAUGCUUUACACAUGCAAGUCGAACGGUAACAGGCCGCAAGGUGCUGACGAGUGGCGAACGGGUGAGUAAUGCAUCGGAACGUGCCCAGUCGUGGGGGAUAACUACUCGAAAGAGUAGCUAAUACCGCAUACGAUCUAUGGAUGAAAGCGGGGGACCGUAAGGCCUCGCGCGAUUGGAGCGGCCGAUGUCAGAUUAGGUAGUUGGUGGGGUAAAGGCUCACCAAGCCAACGAUCUGUAGCUGGUCUGAGAGGACGACCAGCCACACUGGGACUGAGACACGGCCCAGAAUCCUACGGGAGGCAGCAGUGGGGAAUUUUGGACAAUGGGCGCAAGCCUGAUCCAGCAAUGCCGCGUGCAGGAAGAAGGCCUUCGGGUUGUAAACUGCUUUUGUACGGAACGAAACGGCUCUGGUUAAUACCCGGGGCUAAUGACGGUACCGUAAGAAUAAGCACCGGCUAACUACGUG
Molecule: ribosomal RNA, 482 nt
Filed under: uncultured bacterium
Lineage: Bacteria
Description: partial 16S ribosomal RNA
Rfam family: Bacterial small subunit ribosomal RNA
Source: RNAcentral